UGGGGAAUCUUGCGCAAUGGGCGAAAGCCUGACGCAGCAACGCCGCGUGAGCGAAGAAGGCCUUCGGGUUGUAAAGCUCUGUCAGGAGGGACGAAGCCACUCGGGUGAACAGCCCAGAGGGUGACGGUACCUCCAGAGGAAGCCCCGGCUAACUACGUGCCAGCAGCCGCGGUAAUACGUAGGGGGCGAGCGUUGUCCGGAAUCGUUGGGCGUAAAGCGCGUGUAGGCGGCUUGGCAAGUCUGGUGUGAAAGCGCGAGGCUCAACCGCGAGGCUGCAGCGGAAACUGCCUUGCUAGAGUGCGGAAGAGGAGACUGGAAUUCCUGGUGUAGCGGUGAAAUGCGCAGAUAUCAGGAAGAACACCGGUGGCGAAGGCGGGUCUCUGGGACGGUACUGACGCUGAGACGCGAAAGCGUGGGGAGCAAACA
Molecule: ribosomal RNA, 426 nt
Filed under: uncultured prokaryote
Description: bacterial SSU rRNA
Rfam family: Bacterial small subunit ribosomal RNA
Source: RNAcentral